RNAcentral lists this ribosomal RNA (398 nucleotides) under uncultured bacterium. RNAcentral's name for it is "partial 16S ribosomal RNA". It matches the Rfam family "Bacterial small subunit ribosomal RNA", at positions 523 to 918 of the family's 1533-position model. The record is from RNAcentral.
AUACGUAGGGUGCGAGCGUUGUCCGGAAUUACUGGGCGUAAAGAGCUCGUAGGUGGUUUGUCGCGUCGUCUGUGAAAUUCCGGGGCUUAACUCCGGGCGUGCAGGCGAUACGGGCAUAACUUGAGUACUGUAGGGGAGACUGGAAUUCCUGGUGUAGCGGUGAAAUGCGCAGAUAUCAGGAGGAACACCGGUGGCGAAGGCGGGUCUAGGGGCAGUAACUGACGCUGAGGAGCGAAAGCAUGGGUAGCGAACAGGAUUAGAUACCCUGGUAGUCCAUGCCGUAAACGGUGGGCGCUAGGUGUAGGGGUCUUCCACGACUUCUGUGCCGUAGCUAACGCAUUAAGCGCCCCGCCUGGGGAGUACGGCCGCAAGGCUAAAACUCAAAUGAAUUGACGGGG